RNAcentral lists this ribosomal RNA (373 nucleotides) under uncultured organism. RNAcentral's name for it is "bacterial SSU rRNA". It matches the Rfam family "Bacterial small subunit ribosomal RNA", at positions 526 to 896 of the family's 1533-position model. The record is from RNAcentral.
CGGGGGAGGCAAGCGUUGUUCGGAUUACUGGGCGUAAAGGGCGCGUAGGCGGCCACCGCAAGUCGACUGUGAAAUCUCUGGGCUUAACCCAGAAAGGUCAGCCGAUACUGCGGGGCUAGAGUGCAGAAGGGGCAACUGGAAUUCUCGGUGUAGCGGUGAAAUGCGUAGAUAUCGAGAGGAACACCUGCGGCGAAGGCGGGUUGCUGGGCUGACACUGACGCUGAAGCGCGAAAGCUAGGGGAGCGAACGGGAUUAGAUACCCCGGUAGUCCUAGCCUUAAACGAUGAAUGCUUGGUGUCUGGGGUUUUAUAGUCCCCGGGUGCCGUCGCUAACGCUUUAAGCAUUCCGCCUGGGGAGUACGGUCGCAAGACUG